AACGAACGCUGGCGGCAGGCUUAACACAUGCAAGUCGAACGCUCGUAGCAAUACGGGAGUGGCGGACGGGGUGAGUAACGCGUGGGAACGUGCCCUGAGGUACGGAAUAACUGAGGGAAACUUCAGCUAAUACCGUAUGAGCCCCGAGAGGGGAAAGAUUUAUCGCCUUGGGAGCGGCCCGCGUCGGAUUAGCUAGUUGGUGGGGUAACGGCCUACCAAGGCUUCGAUCCGUAGCUGGUCUGAGAGGACGAUCAGCCACACUGGGACUGAGACACGGCCCAGACUCCUACGGGAGGCAGCAGUGGGGAAUCUUGCGCAAUGGGGGCAACCCUGACGCAGCCAUGCCGCGUGAACGAUGAAGGCCUUAGGGUUGUAAAGUUCUUUUACCCGUGACGAUGAUGACGGUAACGGGGAAUAAGCUCCGGCUAACUUCGUGCCAGCAGCCGCGGUAAU
This 453-nucleotide ribosomal RNA is filed under the name uncultured bacterium. Its description in RNAcentral is "bacterial SSU rRNA". It matches the Rfam family "Bacterial small subunit ribosomal RNA", at positions 29 to 524 of the family's 1533-position model. The record is from RNAcentral.